This 422-nucleotide ribosomal RNA is filed under the name uncultured bacterium. Its description in RNAcentral is "bacterial SSU rRNA". It matches the Rfam family "Bacterial small subunit ribosomal RNA", at positions 362 to 775 of the family's 1533-position model. The record is from RNAcentral.
UCUUCCGCAAUGGACGAAAGUCUGACGGAGCAACGCCGCGUGAGUGAUGAAGGUUUUCGGAUCGUAAAACUCUGUUGUUAGGGAAGACCNAGUACCGUUCGAAUAGGGCGGCACCUAGACGGUACCUAACCUGAAAGCUACGGCUAAUUACGUCACAGCAGCCGCGGUAAUACGUAGGUGGCAAGCGUUGUCCGGAAUUAUUGGGCGUAAAGCGCGCGCAGGCGGUUUCUUAAGUCUGAUGUGAAAGCCCCCGGCUCAACCGGGGAGGGUCAUUGGAAACUGGGGAACUUGAGUGCAGAAGAGGAGAGUGGAAUUCCACGUGUAGCGGUGAAAUGCGUAGAGAUGUGGAGGAACACCAGUGGCGAAGGCGACUCUCUGGUCUGUAACUGACGCUGAGGCGCGAAAGCGUGGGGAGCGAACAG